UUUCCGCUGCCACCGAUGGAGAUCGGCCUCGUCGUCGCUCACCGGCCGUCUCUCCCGGUGGCGGCGGUACCGGCGCCGGCCUACCUCCGCCGCCGCCACCUUCCCGGCCUAAUCUCCCUCCCCCGCACCUCCCCCUCCCUGUUCUCCCCGCACCAUCAACGCCUCAGUCCCACGCCUCGCCAUGACCUCCUGCAGCCUCUCCGAGCCUCCCCAGCCCCUGAUUCUAGCCCCAAACCAGAGCCCCCCGCCGCCUCCGGUGCGAAGCUUGUGCCGCUCGUCAUCUCCAUCGCGGUCGGCCUCGCCGUGCGGUUCCUCGCGCCGCGGCCCGCCGAGGUGAGCCCCAACGCGUGGCAGAUGCUCUCCAUCUUCCUCUCCACCAUCGCGGGGCUCGUGCUGGGCCCGCUCCCCGUCGGCGCCGUGGCCUUCCUCGGGCUCACGACCGUCGUUGCCACGAAAACGCUCCCCUUCGCCGCCGCCUUCGCCGCCUUUACCAACGAGAUCAUCUGGCUCAUCGUCAUCUCCUUCUUCUUCGCGCGCGGGUUCGUCAAGACGGGCCUCGGCGACCGCAUCGCCACCUACUUCGUCAAGUGGCUCGGGAGCAGCACGCUGGGGCUGUCCUACGGGCUCACCCUCGGCGAGGCCUGCAUAGCGCCGGCCAUGCCCAGCACCGCGGCGAGGGCAGGGGGCAUUUUCCUGCCGAUCAUCAAGUCACUCUCCAUCUCGGCUGGCAGCAAGCCCAAUCAUCCAUCUUCACGGAAGCUCGGAUCAUAUCUUGUGAUGA
Molecule: long non-coding RNA, 781 nt
Filed under: Setaria italica (foxtail millet)
Lineage: Eukaryota; Viridiplantae; Streptophyta; Magnoliopsida; Poales; Poaceae
Description: long non-coding RNA (SITA_LNC007133)
Source: RNAcentral